Long non-coding RNA from Bubalus bubalis (water buffalo), 372 nucleotides. RefSeq lists it as uncharacterized. Lineage: Eukaryota; Metazoa; Chordata; Mammalia; Artiodactyla; Bovidae. The record is from RefSeq and is a predicted model, not a curated record. The transcript has 2 exons.
GAGUCGGACACGACUUAGCACCUAAACCACCAACAAUACAUUCCAGAAAAACAGCUUCAAGAAAGGUUCAUUCCUUGAAAACAGAUCUUCACAGCCAGUUUUGAAUCCUCACUUCUAGCAAGUUCUCUUCUAAAUUGCUCUCUUGUCUCAAACACAUCUCCAGCUGUUCCAGAUACUGAUGAUGUCCAAUGUGGAAUUUCUCCAAGAGGGUCUUAUCCCAAACAUCCUGGGCCUCUGUAUUGAAGAUGCUGCAGAGAUAUCUCAGGGAAGACAGCAGGGUGUGGGCUUUCCUGAAACUGCCCAGCAUCCACUGGAUCCCAGAUAUCAGUCAGGCCUGUUUUCCAGAAAUUAAAGAUUCAAAGCACUUGUUUU